RNAcentral lists this ribosomal RNA (150 nucleotides) under uncultured bacterium. RNAcentral describes it as "partial 16S ribosomal RNA". It matches the Rfam family "Bacterial small subunit ribosomal RNA", at positions 359 to 527 of the family's 1533-position model. The record is from RNAcentral.
AAGGAACAUGGGCGCAGCCUGAUGCAGCGACGCCGCGUGAGGGAUGACGGCCUUCGGGUUGUAAACCUCUUUCAGUAGGGAAGAAGCGAGAGUGACGGUACCUGCAGAAGAAGCGCCGGCUAACUACGUGCCAGCAGCCGCGAUAAUAGA